RNAcentral lists this long non-coding RNA (718 nucleotides) under Gossypium raimondii (Peruvian cotton). Its description in RNAcentral is "long non-coding RNA (GRAI_LNC008715)". The record is from RNAcentral. Lineage: Eukaryota; Viridiplantae; Streptophyta; Magnoliopsida; Malvales; Malvaceae.
UUGAACGAGGGUCGUUAUCUCUUUCGAUUGUAUCACAAGGUGGAUGUGGAUACGAUUGAGGCUGGUGGUCCGUGGACUUUUAAGUCUCAUCUUCUUGUUAUGCAUCGUCUACGGGGCAGGAAGAUCCUAUGGUUUCUCUUGUUACCAUUGAUUUCUAGAUUUUAGUUCAUGACUUGCCCCAUGUAGAAGACGUGCCAAUAGACGUUAAAGCCAUCGUCAUAAAGGAGCAACGAUGGUAAGAGAAGAUUUCUUUCAUUCUAAGUCCGAAGUGUUUGUUUUCUGUUUUGAAAACUCGGAGGAGCUCAGAAAUCUACGAAGGUUGGACGAAAUGAGAGACAUUUGUGAAGCGAGUAAGGGUUUUCAACUCCUAUAGAGAAAUUCCACCAGUACGUUGGAAGCGGAUGAUUUUGCAGGGAAGAUUGAAGGACUUGGGUUUUUUGUUUGCGUUUUGUUUAGAAGUUUUUUGUCUUUUUAGGUUUUUCAUUUUAGUGCUUUAAGUUUUUUCAGUCUUUUUAGGGAUACUUGAUGCACCACCCAUUAGCAGCAAUAGGCUUCUGCCAGCUGACUGGUGGGCUGAAAUGUUGCAAGGUUUAGGAUUGUGUUUCAUCCUUUAAUCUUCUAUUUUAAUGCAUCGAUUGAUUUUAUUUGAAAAAAAUUUGUAAGUAAAUCCAUUCCUAUAUAUAUAUAUAUAUAUUAAAGUUAGUUUCUAAAGGGAAAU